UAAAGAUUCAUCGCUGAUAGAUAGGCAUGCGUUCCAUUAGGCAGUUGGCGGGGUAACGGCCCACCAAACCGACGAUGGAUAGGGGUCCUGAGAGGAAGGUCCCCCACAUUGGUACUGAGACACGGACCAAACUCCUACGGGAGGCAGCAGUGAGGAAUAUUGGUCAAUGGGCGUAAGCCUGAACCAGCCAAGUCGCGUGAGGGAUGAAGGUUCUAUGGAUCGUAAACCUCUUUUAUAAGGGAAUAAAGUGUGGGACGUGUCCUAUUUUGUAUGUACCUUAUGAAUAAGGAUCGGCUAACUCCGUGCCAGCAGCCGCGGUAAUACGGAGGAUCCGAGCGUUAUCCGGAUUUAUUGGGUUUAAAGGGUGCGUAGGCGGCCUUUUAAGUCAGCGGUGAAAGUCUGUGGCUCAACCAUAGAAUUGCCGUUGAAACUGGGGGGCUUGAGUAUGUUUGAGGCAGGCGGAAUGCGUGGUGUAGCGGUGAAAUGCUUAGAUAUCACGCAGAACCCCGAUUGCGAAGGCAGCCUGCCAAGCCAUGACUGACGCUGAUGCACGAAAGCGUGGGGAUCAAACAGGAUUAGAUACCCUGGUAGUCCACGCAGUAAACGAUGAUCACUAGCUGUUUGCGAUACAGUGUAA
RNAcentral lists this ribosomal RNA (637 nucleotides) under uncultured bacterium. RNAcentral's name for it is "bacterial SSU rRNA". It matches the Rfam family "Bacterial small subunit ribosomal RNA", at positions 202 to 842 of the family's 1533-position model. The record is from RNAcentral.